This is a long non-coding RNA of Homo sapiens (human), 2032 nucleotides long. Ensembl annotates it as USP34 divergent transcript. Its record names the gene USP34-DT. NCBI's taxonomy places the organism in Eukaryota, Metazoa, Chordata, Mammalia, Primates, Hominidae. The record is from Ensembl.
GGGAGUCCGGGUGAGUAGGAGAAGAUGGCGGAGGCAACGGACGGGUCGCGGUUGCGUGGCGUCGCCCACCACGACCCACUCCACGGGCUCUGAGGCCCGGGGAGCGCCAGGUCACUCGCUCCGUCCUGUCCCCCGCCCCUGGGCUUCGCCAUUUUUCCCCAGGGCCUGGGUCGGGGAGUUGGUGCGGGUUUCUUUGGUGUCCCCGGCCUCUUCCGCGCUUAGGCUUUUGGGGUACGGGAAGCAAGGAGUCAACUUGGGUGCCGGGCCGGGUCUACGCCGUAGCCCUCUUUCGGGCGCAAGGGCCACUCCCCCCGGGGUCUGAGAGUGAAUCAGCCCAGGGCCCGGCUUAACUGCAUCGGUGAUUAUCGCUACCCUGCAGUUCCUUGAAGGUCCUCCGUCCUGGAGCAGUAAGAUCCUUGACGUAACUAGAAAUGGCAGGAUGAAGUUUCACUCUUGUCACCCAGGUUGGAGUGCAAUGACGUGAUCUCGGCUCACCGCAACCUUUGCCUCGUGGGUUCAAGCAAUUCUCUUGCCUCAGCCUCUCAAGUAGCUGCGAAUACAGCUGUGCGCCACCACGCCUGGCUAAUUUUUGUAUUAUUAGUAGAGACGGGGGUUUCACCAUGUUGGCCGUGCUAGUCUCAAACUCCCGACAUCAGGUGACCCACCCACCUUGGCCUCCCAAAGUGCUGGGAUUACAGGCAUGAGCAACUGCGCCCAGCCUAGACGGAGUCUCGCUCUGUCACCCAAGCUGGAAUGCCGUGGCGCAAUCUUAGUUCACUGCAACCUCUGCCUCCUCGGUCCAAGCCAUUCUCCUGCCUCAGCCUCCCGAAUAGGUGGGAUUGCAAUCACAUGCCACCAUGCCCAGUAUUUUUAUUGUAUCUUUUAUUUUUUUAUGGUAUUUUUAGUACAGACAGUUUCACCAUGGUGGCCAGGCUGUUCUCGAACUCCUGACCUCAUAAUCUCCCCGCCUCGACCUCCCAAAGUGCUGGGAUUAUAGGCGUGAGGCCCUGUGCCCAGCUGGCACUUAACAUUUAAAUCGUAUUAAAUUCUUACCAGCAGUAUGUGAAGUGUCUGUCACAACAGAAAAGAUAUGCUGGAGAAUAUCACAAAAAUAAGUUUGAUAAAAACUCUGAGCUGCAGCUUCUUCUUGUGCAACAUUUUGUAAGAGUGUAAAAAGUAUCUGUAAGCCUAAAAGACAUAGAAUACCAAUGGAAAGUUACUACAGACUGACAGCACUCAUGAUAGUAUUUAGCUCUUAUCAAAGUAUUCUGAAUCUAACCCUGUUCUCCCUUUUUUUUGGGAUGAUGACUAAUAAUUACUUGCAUAAGGUUUCUUAAAUUAAUAAUGGAAUACAACUAUAUCCAAUGCUGGCUUACUUAUAAAUUAUAAUAAGUUGUGUGAGAGCUAAACUGUGAAGAUGUAAAGGCAUAAAGAUCAUAUAAUGGACUUUGGGGACUUGUGGGGAAGGGCAGGAGUGGGUGAGGGAUAAGACUACACAUAAGGUGGAGUUCAUACACAUGAGGGAUAAGACUACACAUAAAGUAGAGUUCAUACUGCUCACAUGACAGGUGCACCAAAAUCUCAGAAAUCACCACUGAAGAACUUAUUCAUGUAACCAAAAACCACCUGUUCCCCAAAAACUAUUGAAAUAAAAAAAGAACCUCAUGAAUAUUUUUUAAAAGCCUAUGGGAAAAAAAUUACAAUCUAAGUUAUGACUAUUACCACCCUUUCACCAUUUCUGAAAGCUCAGCUGAUUCUAUAUGAACUUCUACAACAUCACUACCCAGUAGAACUUUGUAUUACGCAAACCAAUUAUUACUAGGCCGCUCUCCCCAUAACUCAAUUCUGCCUAUGGACUCACUUGGAGUGGAGUGGAACAGUUGAUUAAACUGCUUAUAGGAUUUUCUCAGAUGUUCAUAUAUGUAAUUCACACACUCAAAACUCUGAACAAGUAAUACCUUCCUAUGUACAAUUAACUAUAUUUGUAUUUUUGGAUUGGCAGGCAAAUGAAUAAAAGAACAUCUUUUAUUUA